CUCUAUAGAAUUUUAUGGCAAUGUACAAAACUUUACAGAGAAAAGUGCUGUUCACACUAUCCUCCCCUCCAGAAGCAUCUGGUCUCAUUGAUCCAGUCGGGUGGCAGAAUGAAAGCGAGCAGCGCAUCUCUCCUGCCGAUUACCUCCAUCUCUCCAACUGUGCCAAAGUGACUGAAAGAGGGAAGAGUCAUCUGCCUCCCGCGGUCUGCCAACACACAGACCACCAUGGGAAGUGAGGGAGCGAAAAAGAAAGAGGAAGAAAAAGAUAACUGGAGAGAUUGGACAGUCGGGAGCUUUUGAAGAGAAGAAAGACCGAAUUCUGCCCCAAGAACAGCGAUAACGGACAUGGGGUCCCACUGGGGGAUGGGCCGGAGGGGU
Molecule: long non-coding RNA, 378 nt
Organism: Cyprinus carpio carpio
Lineage: Eukaryota; Metazoa; Chordata; Actinopteri; Cypriniformes; Cyprinidae
Source: Ensembl